UACGGAAGGCAGCAGGGGGGAAUAUUGCACAAUGGGCGCAAGCCUGAUGCAGCCAUGCCGCGUGUAUGAAAAAGGCCUUCGGGUUGUAAAGUACUUUCAGUCGUGAGGAAGGUGUUAAGGUUAAUAACCUUAGCAAUUGACGUUAGCGACAGAAGAAGCACCGGCUAACUCCGUGCCAGCAGCCGCGGUAAUACGGAGGGUGCGAGCGUUAAUCGGAAUUACUGGGCGUAAAGGGCACGCAGGCGGUUAAUUAAGUUGGAUGUGAAAUCCCCGGGCUUAACCUGGGAAUGGCAUUCAAGACUGGUUAGCUAGAGUCUUGUAGAGGGGGUUAGAAUUCCAUGUGUAGCGGUGAAAUGCGUAGAGAUGUGGAGGAAUACCGGUGGCGAAGGCGGCCCCUGGACAAAGACUGACGCUCAUGUGCGAAAGCGUGGGGAGCAAACGAGGGAUUAGAUA
Molecule: ribosomal RNA, 453 nt
Filed under: uncultured bacterium
Lineage: Bacteria
Description: bacterial SSU rRNA
Rfam family: Bacterial small subunit ribosomal RNA
Source: RNAcentral